This 357-nucleotide ribosomal RNA is filed under the name Triticum aestivum (bread wheat). RNAcentral's name for it is "partial small subunit ribosomal RNA". The record is from RNAcentral. Lineage: Eukaryota; Viridiplantae; Streptophyta; Magnoliopsida; Poales; Poaceae.
UGAUGACCCAACAGAGUUAACUUAAUCUGAACCUCCUCUGUUUCCGCUAUAUAUCCCUAUUUUUCUGAACUUAACAACCGAACAGCAUUAUAUAUUAGAUCAGCACACAAGUGAACUGGAAAUCAUUUUAUUCAGAUUGUUGGUACCCUCAGUGUAAAAUUAUUCCUUAUUGGUUGGGGAUUUGGAGACGUAGUAUCUGGUUGAUGAAGGAUUUUUUUAUCUCCUAAGCUCCACACAUUCUCUUCCAUCUAACACAACCGGCACGGUCAAGUGGUGUAGCAGUUGACGGUCGACAGCUAAAAUCAAGGCACCGCCUUAAUUUAGGCGGAAAGACCACAGCUCUUCCAUCUACACCAG